GGUAAUACAGAGGGUGCAAGCGUUAAUCGGAAUUACUGGGCGUAAAGCGCGCGUAGGUGGUUUGUUAAGUUGAAUGUGAAAUCCCCGGGCUCAACCUGGGAACUGCAUCCAAAACUGGCAAGCUAGAGUAGAGCAGAGGGUGGUGGAAUUUCCUGUGUAGCGGUGAAAUGCGUAGAUAUAGGAAGGAACACCAGUGGCGAAGGCGACCACCUGGGCUCAUACUGACACUGAGGUGCGAAAGCGUGGGGAGCAAACAGG
This 258-nucleotide ribosomal RNA is filed under the name uncultured Pseudomonas sp. RNAcentral's name for it is "partial 16S ribosomal RNA". It matches the Rfam family "Bacterial small subunit ribosomal RNA", at positions 519 to 776 of the family's 1533-position model. The record is from RNAcentral. Lineage: Bacteria; Pseudomonadati; Pseudomonadota; Gammaproteobacteria; Pseudomonadales; Pseudomonadaceae.